CGCGGUGGCGCGUGCCUGUAGUCCCAGCUACUCGGGAGGCUGAGGCUGGAGGAUCGCUUGAGUCCAGGAGUUCUGGGCUGUAGUGCGCUAUGCCGAUCGGGUGUCCGCACUAAGUUCGGCAUCAAUAUGGUGACCUCCCGGGAGCGGGGGACCACCAGGUUGCCUAAGGAGGGGUGAACCGGCCCAGGUCGGAAACGGAGCAGGUCAAAACUCCCGUGCUGAUCAGUAGUGGGAUCGCGCCUGUGAAUAGCCACUGCACUCCAGCCUGGGCAACAUAGCGAGACCCCGUCUCUUUUGAACAAUAAAUACGUUAAUUUUGGACUCUCAAGAGAUGAAUAUUCUCAUAGUCUUUUUUAUUGAUUAAACCUUUUACUUUCUUUUAAUUAAAACGUUACACUUGGGAAAGGAGUUUUUCCUCGACUCACCAGUGACACCUACUGGAAUAAAUUUACAAAACAACUUAAAAUCAGCUGUAAUGAUCACGAGUCAACGGAUUAUCUCCAAGACUUCAACAUACAACGUUUGUGCACCAACAACAUAUGUACAGCUAAGGAAAAUAUUCUGUAUUAAAUCAUGGGUGUGCUCAUGAAGUACGAAAGGAGCCAAGAAGAGAAAUUAAUUCCAGUUCGAGGUACAUUUGAGAGACCUUUGAGGUAGACCUUGAAGAAUGGGAUUUCUACAGGCAGCACUUGACAGAAGGGAAUGCCUGGUGAAAGGAAGCGCUUGAGCCAAGUCUUCUGUGAUCAUCCAUCCAGAAUUUAAUCAUUUAAAAACCUUCAUCUUAGACGUAUACACUGCUGAUGGGAAUGUAAAUUACUUCAGCACUGUGGAAAGCAGUUUGGUGAUUUCUUAAAGAAUUUAAAACAGAACUGUCAUUUGACCAGCAAUCCCAUUACUGGAUAUAUACCCAAAAGAAUAUAAAUCAUUCUACAGUAAAGGCAAAUGCAUAUGUAUGUUCAUCGCAGCACUAUUCACAAUAGCAAACACACUGAAUCAACCUAAAUAGCAAUUUUUUAAGCAACAGUAGACUGGAUAAAGAAAAUGUAGUACAUAUACACUAUGGAAUGCUACACAGCCACAGAAAAGAACAAGAUCAUGUCCUGUGCAACAGCAUGGAUGGAGCUGGAGGCCAUUAUCCUAAACAAACUAACACAGGAACAGAAAACCAAACACCACGUUCUCACUUAUAAGUGAGAGCUAAACAUUGAAUACACAUGGACCCAAAGAAAGUAAUAGACAGCAGGGCCUACUUGAGGGUAGAGGGUGGGAGGAGGGUGAGGAUUCGAAAAGUACCUAUUAGGUACUAAGCUUAUUACCUGGGUGAUGAAAUAAUAACCCCUGUGACACACAAUUUAUCUA
This 1359-nucleotide long non-coding RNA is filed under the name Homo sapiens (human). Its description in RNAcentral is "HSALNT0376822". The stretch from base 1 to 294 matches the Rfam family "Metazoan signal recognition particle RNA". Lineage: Eukaryota; Metazoa; Chordata; Mammalia; Primates; Hominidae. The record is from RNAcentral.